GUCCUAGCAGUAAACGGUGCACGUUUGGUGUAGGCGGAUUCGACCCCGCCUGUGCCGGAGCUAACGCGUUAAACGUGCCGCCUGGGAAGUACGGUCGCAAGAUUAAAACUCAAAGAAAUUGACGGGGCCCGCACAAGCGGUGGAGUAUGUGGCUUAAUUCGAUGCAACGCGAAGAACCUUACCAGGGUUUGACAUGUAUCGUGUCGGCGAAUGAAAGUCGCCUAAGCUAAUAGCAAUAUAGCGCUUUACACAGGUGCUGCAUGGCUGUCGU
RNAcentral lists this ribosomal RNA (271 nucleotides) under uncultured bacterium. RNAcentral's name for it is "partial 16S ribosomal RNA". It matches the Rfam family "Bacterial small subunit ribosomal RNA", at positions 793 to 1055 of the family's 1533-position model. The record is from RNAcentral.